RNAcentral lists this ribosomal RNA (496 nucleotides) under uncultured bacterium. RNAcentral's name for it is "partial 16S ribosomal RNA". It matches the Rfam family "Bacterial small subunit ribosomal RNA", at positions 28 to 507 of the family's 1533-position model. The record is from RNAcentral.
GAUGAACGCUGGCGGCGUGCCUAAUACAUGCAAGUCGAGCGAACAGACGAGGAGCUUGCUCCUCUGACGUUAGCGGCGGACGGGUGAGUAACACGUGGAUAACCUACCUAUAAGACUGGAUAACUUCGGGAAACCGGAGCUAAUACCGGAUAAUAUAUUGAACCGCAUGGUUCAAUAGUGAAAGACGGUUUUGCUGUCACUUAUAGAUGGAUCCGCGCCGCAUUAGCUAGUUGGUAAGGUAACGGCUUACCAAGGCGACGAUGCGUAGCCGACCUGAGAGGGUGAUCGGCCACACUGGAACUGAGACACGGUCCAGACUCCUACGGGAGGCAGCAGUAGGGAAUCUUCCGCAAUGGGCGAAAGCCUGACGGAGCAACGCCGCGUGAGUGAUGAAGGUCUUCGGAUCGUAAAACUCUGUUAUUAGGGAAGAACAAAUGUGUAAGUAACUAUGCACGUCUUGACGGUACCUAAUCAGAAAGCCACGGCUAACUACGUG